GACGAACGCUGGCGGCGUGCUUAACACAUGCAAGUCGAACGGAAAGGCCCUGCUUUUGUGGGGUGCUCGAGUGGCGAACGGGUGAGUAACACGUGAGUAACCUGCCCUUGACUUUGGGAUAACUUCAGGAGACUGGGGCUAAUACCGGAUAGGAGCUCCUGCUGCAUGGUGGGGGUUGGAAAGUUUCGGCGGUUGGGGAUGGACUCGCGGCUUAUCAGCUUGUUGGUGGGGUAGUGGCUUACCAAGGCUUUGACGGGUAGCCGGCCUGAGAGGGUGACCGGCCACAUUGGGACUGAGAUACGGCCCAGACUCCUACGGGAGGCAGCAGUGGGGAGUAUUGCACAAUGGGCGGAAGCCUGAUGCAGCAACGCCGCGUGCGGGAUGACGGCCUUCGGGUUGUAAACCGCUUUCGCCUGUGACGAAGCGUGAGUGACGGUAAUGGGUAAAGAAGCACCGGCUAACUACGUG
RNAcentral lists this ribosomal RNA (468 nucleotides) under uncultured bacterium. RNAcentral's name for it is "partial 16S ribosomal RNA". It matches the Rfam family "Bacterial small subunit ribosomal RNA", at positions 28 to 507 of the family's 1533-position model. The record is from RNAcentral.